GGCAGGUGCCGCUGCAUGGGCUGCGGAUAAUAGGGAAACAGGUUUGAUGCCUGUGCGAACUCGUCACUGUAUACGGCUUGGUCUGCGCAUAUGCCACUGGGAAACCGGGAAGGCGCGCGGACGGGAUCACCGUGAGCCAGGAGACCUGCCUGCCGG
This 156-nucleotide non-coding RNA is filed under the name bovine gut metagenome. The record is from RNAcentral.